RNAcentral lists this ribosomal RNA (445 nucleotides) under uncultured bacterium. RNAcentral describes it as "bacterial SSU rRNA". It matches the Rfam family "Bacterial small subunit ribosomal RNA", at positions 330 to 792 of the family's 1533-position model. The record is from RNAcentral.
GCCAGACUCCUACGGGAGGCAGCAGUGGGGAAUAUUGCACAAUGGGGGGAACCCUGAUGCGGCGACGCCGCGUGAGUGAAGAAGUAUUUCGGUAUGUAAAGCUCUAUCAGCAGGGAAGAAGAUGACGGUACCUGACUAAGAAGCCCCGGCUAACUACGUGCCAGCAGCCGCGGUAAUACGUAGGGGGCAAGCGUUAUCCGGAUUUACUGGGUGUAAAGGGAGCGUAGACGGCAGGGCAAGUCUGGAGUGAAAGCCCGGGGCCCAACCCCGGGACUGCUUUGGAAACUGCCAUGCUAGAGUGCUGGAGAGGUAAGCGGAAUUCCUAGUGUAGCGGUGAAAUGCGUAGAUAUUAGGAGGAACACCAGUGGCGAAGGCGGCUUACUGGACUGUAACUGACGUUGAGGCACGAAAGUGUGGGGAGCAAACAGGAUUAGAUACCCUUGUA